CAGCCGCCACGGGAAUACAGAGGGUGCGAGCGUUAAUCGGAUUUACUGGGCGUAAAGCGUGCGUAGGCGGCUAAUUGAGUCGGAUGUGAAAUCCCCGAGCUUAACUUGGGAAUUGCAUUCGAUACUGGUUAGCUAGAGUGUGGGAGAGGAUGGUAGAAUUCCAGGUGUAGCGGUGAAAUGCGUAGAGAUCUGGAGGAAUACCGAUGGCGAAGGCAGCCAUCUGGCCUAACACUGACGCUGAGGUACGAAAGCAUGGGGAGCAAACAGGAUUAGAUACCCCUGUAGUCCCUGUCUCUUAUAA
Molecule: ribosomal RNA, 301 nt
Filed under: uncultured bacterium
Lineage: Bacteria
Description: partial 16S ribosomal RNA
Rfam family: Bacterial small subunit ribosomal RNA
Source: RNAcentral